RNAcentral lists this ribosomal RNA (224 nucleotides) under uncultured bacterium. Its description in RNAcentral is "partial 16S ribosomal RNA". It matches the Rfam family "Bacterial small subunit ribosomal RNA", at positions 524 to 745 of the family's 1533-position model. The record is from RNAcentral.
UACGUAGGGUGCGAGCGUUGUCCGGAAUUAUUGGGCGUAAAGAGCUUGUAGGCGGUUUUGUCGCGUCUGCUGUGAAAAAUCCGGGGCUCAACCCCGGACUUGCAGUGGGUACGGGCAGACUAGAGUGUGGUAGGGGAGACUGGAAUUCCUGGUGUAGCGGUGAAAUGCGCAGAUAUCAGGAGGAACACCAACAGCGAAGGCAGAUCUCUGGGACGUUACUGACG